CAGGAGCACGGCCCACAGGACGGUCCGCAGCAGGGGCAGCAGCCGCAUCGCCCCCGGGGUGCGCUCCGUUCUCCGCCCGGCGCGUCCCAGGCCCGCUUCACGGUCCGGGAGAGAAAGCACCGGGCAGAGAGCCUUAGUGGAAAUCUGGGAGACCAGAGCCCGAGGGUGAUCGCACACGUCUGUGACCUCAACGCUCGGAAAAUGACCCAGGAGAAGCCAUGUCAGUUUGGGCUCCGUAGCGAGACCCUGUCUAAAUAAAAAAAGUUCUAGUUGUCCAUCCCUGCGAUGCCAGCGGUCACCUCAAGCCCAGGAUUUCCAGAAUCUUGAGCAAGAUUCUCAUUUUAAGGGUUGAUGGUGCAAGAGGAAGGGACACAGUGCCUCCGGGGACACCCCUGCUCCUGUGGAGCCGUGGGUGGCAAGCUAGAUGCCGACUUUGGGUUUAGACCUGGCCCUCCCUUAUCACCACACCCCUUCUCCCCUGGCCGGAGACUCACAAGCCCCGGUCCUGUGGACCUAAGACGGAAGUGAGGAGAUGGUAACAGCCUACACAAAGCGCCUCUGUUCUGGGGCCAGCCGGUGGGGGCGGGGAGGGGCAGGAGGCAGGUGCAAGACUUAAGGGCCGUGGGAACUGCCGCCCCGUUCCACCUAGGCCCCGGGUUCUCCCAACCCCAGUUAAUUCGCUUUUCCCAGCCACUGGUGAGCGCGAGGGUGGACGCAACUCGGGACGGUUUGGGGUGGUUUGUCCUUUAGAGCUGCUGCUGGAAGCUGGGCACCACACAGGACGAAGGCCUGGAGAUUAGGAGCAAACUACUUCCCGGAAUGCAGGAUUGUGCUGAAGGUCAUCCCAAACGGAGCAAAAUCAAGCUGCGGGCAUCCCCAGGACGCAUCCUGGCUGACCCUUUGGGCAACUCCCACCCUCCCCCGCCGGCUCUGGCUUGAGGAAGCAGCGUCUCCUGGUGGCCAGACCUGGAAGUGCAUCAGGGCCAACCAGGGGCAGACAAUUUCCAAGAUCUCACAUUUAUUAUUACAACAGGACAGACAGGCUGUGUGCACCACCUUCAGCCCAGUCAAGGCCCUGCCCCUCCCCAGUACCCAGCUGCAGCGUGUAGGAGAGUCCCAGGGUGCUGCUUAGCAGCACCUGAACGUGGGCAGUUCCUUACUACUGGACACUACAGGGUCUAGACUUCUGCUCCGUUAGUAAGUUGGGGUGUGUGGUGGGGGGACUCCGCCAGAUUCCACUUCUCUGAGUACUGGGUUGGAGGCAGAGGAACCACAGGAGCAGUCAGAGGUAGAGCGAGGAUGCUGCUGGGGGUGGUGGUGCUGGCCUGGAGUUGAUGGUGAGAGAGAGAGAAAACAAAAAAAGUCUUCUUGCCUAGAUCUCUCCCUCCAUCUGCCUACCCUCAGCACCGCCCUCCUCACCUACCUGGAGGGCACCACCGAUGGCAUGCUUCUAGCUCCUGCGCCAGGAUGGUCACCUGAUGGGUGCCAGCCCUGGGGGUCCACAGGCAGUGGCUUUCUUGGGGGUGGGGGCUUGGCACGCCCCUGAGACUGAGAGAGAAGGCAGGAGCCAUCUUGGAGGGGUGUCAAAUUUCCCAACGCCCCAACACAGUGGUGCUGAGGGCAGUUCUAGAGGUCACCAAACAAACCUGGCAUCCUCACAGGCGCCACUAGAACACGUGCCCGCAGGCACGGAGCCAGCGUUAGAGCCCUAGGUGAGGGGAGAGGCGCGCCUUUCUCUGCCCACACUGUUACCUUCGGGCGCCUCACCACAGGGUCAGCGGGCAGAGGGCGAGUGGGGGGACUGGUUCGGCCAGUCAGCUCAGCCUGAACAGAGAGAGGAGCAGUGGCUGUGAAAGCACAUUCAAAGAUGGUGGGCGUGCACAGUCUCCCCGGGGGAGUUGAAGUCAGCAUGCACAGUCAGCAUGCAGAGUCAGCCCAGGGUCUGGAGAGAAGGGGGGCAGGCAGGGAGAUGUCUCAGGGAGGAAGGGGUGCACUAGGGAGUCCCUGGCUGGCUGCAGUCCUACCGUCGACCACAAGGUGGCAGUAGAGACCAAGGCUGGAGGCUCACCCUUUGCUGAUUCAGGGGCUUAAUGAAGACCGAGGGGCCACCCCGGUCCCCUAAUGAAGAGCAGCACUGGUGGGGAGCACCUUGGCACCAAGCCUCCCAUCUGUCCUGAACUAGGGUCCACAGGCUGGCAUCGAUGGUCAAUGCACACCUGUGCCAUGGACAGGAGAGAAGAGUCACAUUCACAGAGCAGGAGACCAACAAGACCUGCCUGCACGGGCGGAGAAGCCAAGGCGCCAUGGGAACAAGACUUUGCUCUAUCCGAGGCACGACUGUGGCCUCCUGCAGAGCCUGUGCGGUUUGCACUGGUGGACGCUGAGGCCUGGGCACUGCUUGCUGUGGUUCAGACAUCCCUCCCUACCUGGCCUUAUCCACCCAGCCUACUCACCAGGCCAGGGCCACAGGCAGUGCCAGGCAGAGCCAGCAGGGGCUGGGCCACAUCGCUGCCCAGGUCCAGGUGCACCCAGCUGCAGUUCAGCUGUGUCCCAUUGGCUUCCAGGGUCUCCCAGAGCAGCUCCUGGGCUGAGCCCAGCAGGGGCUGGCUUCUACCCCCCUGGCACUGCAGCUGCCCACAAAUGGCAUCUCUGGGAGUGGAGAGAUGGAGAGAAGCAGGGUCAGUGGAAGCAGGACGAAGGUCCCCACAGACUCCAAGGAGGAAGCUGUUUUCCCACUUACCUAGGGGUGCAGGGCAUGUAGCUGCCGCUGGGGCUGCGGCCACAGCUCCCGAAGGCAUUGCCACGAGUGUUGGCUGUCUGGAGGCAAAGUGGUGCGGCAGGCCGGGCCUCAGGUCCCCAGAGUGACUGGCACUGCUGGGCAUAGGAGGCGCAGCGUCCAUGCAUGCACACAGCCUGGCCGUUGGCACAGGGCUCACCGUCCCCUAGCCUGACGUCAGGGGGGCACUGGGAGCUAUUGCCUAGGCAGAACUCGGGCAAAUCACAGUCGCCUGUAGGAGGGCGGCACUGCCAGUCAUCUGGGCGCAGCUGUGGAGGGUGGGCAAGCGUUACAGUGAGUGCUUGGUAAGCUUAGCGGGGAGCUUGGGGGUUCGUGGGACAGAGUAACCUUUCACCCUUGCACCUGGCAGUCAAAUCUGUGCUCUCACCUUGCAGUUUUGGCAGCAGGGUCCGUCGGACGCACACUGGGCCCCUGGCCUCAGCUGGCAGGUGAAGUAAUCACAGCAAGGAUCAGUGCAGUCCUGGGGUGGGGUCAAGGUCAAGGUCACGGCAGGAACUGACCUUCAGAGCUGGGGUGGGGUGGCCCACAAGAUGACCCCACCCCCCCUCCCAGAGAGCAAAUCAAGAAGUUGCUGGAGGGGAGCAGGGGAGGGAAAUCUUAUGGCUUAUUGUCUGUAAGCAUAGAAGUUGUCAAUUUAAAAGAAAGUUGCCAGGGCUAAAGAGUUAAAGGUUCUUGCUGCUGGACGUGGUGGCACACACCUUUAUGAAUACAAGGCCACCCUGAGACUACACAGUGAAUUCCAGGUCAUCCUAGGCUACA
Jaculus jaculus (lesser Egyptian jerboa) is the source of this 3556-nucleotide long non-coding RNA. RefSeq lists it as uncharacterized. The record is from RefSeq and is a predicted model, not a curated record. Lineage: Eukaryota; Metazoa; Chordata; Mammalia; Rodentia; Dipodidae. The transcript is spliced from 4 exons.